GAUGAACGCUGGCGGCGUGCCUAAUACAUGCAAGUCGAGCGAACGGACGCGAAUCUUGCUGCGCUGAUGUUACCGGCGGACGGGUGAGUCACACGUGGCUUACCUACCUAUAUGACUGAGAUCACUUAGGGAAACCGGAGCUCAUACCGGAUACUUUUUCGACCCGCAUGGUGUUGAAGUGAUAUACGGUCUUGCUGUCACCUAUCGAUGGAUCCGCUCUGCAUUAGCUGGUUGGUAAGCUAACGGCUUACCAAGUCAACGAUGGAUAACCGACGUGGGAGAGGGAUCGGCCACCUGGGAAGUGAGACGGCGUCCAGAGUCCUACGGGAGGCAGCAGUAGGGAACGGUCCGCAAUGGGCGGAAGCCUGGCGGAGCAGCGGCGCGCGAGAGGUGAAGGUGUUCGGAUCGUAAAAAUCUGUUAUGAGGGAAGAACAUAUGUGUAAGUAAAAGUACAGAUCGUGACGGUACCUAAUCAGAAAGCCACGGCUAACUACGUG
This 497-nucleotide ribosomal RNA is filed under the name uncultured bacterium. RNAcentral describes it as "partial 16S ribosomal RNA". It matches the Rfam family "Bacterial small subunit ribosomal RNA", at positions 28 to 507 of the family's 1533-position model. The record is from RNAcentral.